GCCCUGUCUGAGGUGUGACGAGUGUCUCUCACAGGAGAUUAACAUUUUAGAGUCCCCGCUUCCCUCCCGCCCGCUUCACAACCCCAACGCUCCAGAAUCCCACAGGAAAAACAAAAACGUUUCUCCAAUGGAUAAAAAGCUUUGACCUUUUAUCAGCUGCAGGAAAUGCAUUAGCCGCCUCAUAAUCCAAUUUAUAGCACCAUGCAAAGGAUGGGUCUGCAUGGCGGAUUGAGAGGGAAAGGAGCAGAGAAAAACACCUUGGUGAAAAAAUCUCAGACAAUUUGGUGUGAAGGAUGGGGUGCUAACUCUGCUUGCUGAUUGCUCCCGGGGAGACUGGUGUUAACUGUGCGCAGGGGCUGCGUUUGAUGUGGCCGGGAGCCCCACACUCUGACUAAGGGGAGCAGAAAAGGGACCCGCCUCGGACCUGGCAGGGAGCGUCAGUGACUGGACACUGAACAGACAAAAUAGGGCCCACUCUACAAAUGGAAAGGCUUUCCUUGGCUUGUUGCAGCGCUUAGCUGCUGGGAAUGUAAUCCUUUGAACGGAGCGUGGAUCUAAGCUUAGUCCCAAAUGGCACCUGAAAGGAAAUUGUAUAAUAUAUGUACAUUGUAGGAACACCUGUAAUUACAAAAGUACAAUGAUUCAUGUUUUGCUUUAGCUUGAGAUUAAGAAUCAGUGGUAGACACUUUGUAGGUACAUGAAGAGGUCAACUGUACAAAAGUCAUAUGCCUGUUUGUUGAAACACUACUUUCAUUUCCUGCUGAUGCUAUAUUCCAGUCUUAAUUCUGCUAGCACAUGAUAAUAAUAGGAGGAAGUAUGAUUGGGAAGCUUAUGUGAUAUUAAAGUUACUGUAAAUGCAAAUUAAUCUAAGUGUAUACUCCGGGUUGCAUUCUGGCUUGCAAUCCUUAUUAAACAAACUAACCUCUGAUCAAAGAAGUUUCCUGUGGUCUCUUGUAUGAACUCAGGGCAGAAAUCCCUUACAC
Long non-coding RNA from Oncorhynchus tshawytscha (Chinook salmon), 983 nucleotides. The record is from Ensembl. NCBI's taxonomy places the organism in Eukaryota, Metazoa, Chordata, Actinopteri, Salmoniformes, Salmonidae.